CCUACGUGAGGCAGCAGUGAGGAAUAUUGGUCAAUGGGCGCUAGCCUGAACCAGCCAAGUAGCGUGAAGGAUGACUGCCCUAUGGGUUGUAAACUUCUUUUAUAAAGGAAUAAAACGAGGCACGUGUGCCUUUUUGCAUGUCCUUUAUGAAUAAGGAUCGGCUAACUCCGUGCCAGCAGCCGCGGUAAUACGGAGGAUCCGAGCGUUAUCCGGAUUUAUUGGGUUUAAAGGGAGCGUAGAUGGGUUGUUAAGUCAGUUGUGAAAGUUUGCGGCUCAACCGUAAAAUUGCAAUUGAUACUGGCAGUCGUGAGUACAGUUGAGGUAAGCGGAAUUCGUGGUGGAGCGGUGAAAUGCUUAGAUAUCACGAAGAACCCCGAUUGCGAAGGCAGCUUACUAAACUGUGACUGACAUUGAUGCUCGAAAGUGUGGGUAGCAAACAGGAUUAGAGACCCCGGUAGUC
Molecule: ribosomal RNA, 460 nt
Filed under: uncultured bacterium
Lineage: Bacteria
Description: partial 16S ribosomal RNA
Rfam family: Bacterial small subunit ribosomal RNA
Source: RNAcentral